UGUCUGUUGAGGUGAUUAAGAAAGCAUUUCAAGCAACAGAAGACGGUUUCCUCUCGGUUGUGACUAGGCAAUGGCCCACAAAACCACAGAUUGCUGCAGUUGGAUCAUGCUGUCUUGUUGGAGUUAUCUGCAGUGGAACCUUAUAUAUCGCCAACCUUGGCGACUUGUUGUGACUAGACAAUGGCCCACAAAACCGCAGAUUGCUGCAGUUGGAUCAUGCUGUCUUGUUGGAGUUAUCUGCAGUGGAACCUUAUAUAUAGCCAACCUUGGCGACUCAAGGGCAGUCUUAGGGAGACUUGUCAAGUCUACUGGAGAGGUUCUCUCGAUUCAGCUCUCUGCAGAACACAAUGUGAGCAUUGAAUCUGUAAGACAAGAGUUGCAAACUUUGCAUCCAAAUGACUCAC
RNAcentral lists this long non-coding RNA (404 nucleotides) under Nicotiana benthamiana. Its description in RNAcentral is "long non-coding RNA (NBEN_LNC022969)". Lineage: Eukaryota; Viridiplantae; Streptophyta; Magnoliopsida; Solanales; Solanaceae. The record is from RNAcentral.